UGACAUGCAGACACAUUUCCCCCGCUUCCAUGGUCCUCGGGAACAACAUUUUCGUCUUUCACCUUCUCCCAGAGCUGCCAGUACUUCUAUUCACUUAUAAACGAAAUUUACAAACUCGUCGACACAGGUACGGGAAAUUUCUAAUGAAGUUUCACCAGAGCCCUUUCGUUACACGGCGGAGAGCCUUUUGGCGAUUCAAGAAGCUACGGAGGACUUCCUCGUUCACCUUUUUGAAGACUGCAACCUGUGUGCGAUUCAUGCAAAACGUGUAACCAUAAUGCCUAAAGAUCUCCAGCUUGCUCGGCGAAUUCGAGGUCCCAUAUAUGGUGUCUCGGCCUAUUAGCAUUAGGUGCAAGUUAAUACCAAUAGAUUUUGCAGGAAUCAAUGCGGCGAACUUGCUCUCCUUGUUUUUAGGAAGCGUUCCAAGCAGAAAGAGCACGGACAUUCAAACGCCAUUGCACAACAAGAGCGUUGUUGAUCAUUACGGGACAUACAUGCACGCAUGUCUGUGUACUAAUAUGGUCUUUCUAAUACCUUUUCCACAGCGAUGGAUGUGACAUUCCGUUACUGUAUGCCCUGUUUGCCCUUGAUGCAUAUUGUGUUGUUCAUGCAAGAUUUCAGGACGGACGCAGGCAGUCUAGUCGCGUAGCGAGCAACGGCCACUAGCUAGGCCGAUACUACGGAAAAAAAAACUUGCAAAACUUGCAACCCGUUAAAAGUUUCGGAGCCUUGUUUUUAUGAGCUUUUUAGCGGGAUUUUUUGAAACUGAUCAUGAUGGUAUCUGAAUCUAUUUAUUAUUGCCCUUUAUUUGUGUAUUAUUCUGAAUUUCAUUAGGGUGGGAUACGUUUUUAUGCAUAACGAUUU
RNAcentral lists this long non-coding RNA (864 nucleotides) under Micromonas commoda. RNAcentral's name for it is "long non-coding RNA (MCOM_LNC000075)". Lineage: Eukaryota; Viridiplantae; Chlorophyta; Mamiellophyceae; Mamiellales; Mamiellaceae. The record is from RNAcentral.